Molecule: ribosomal RNA, 253 nt
Filed under: uncultured bacterium
Lineage: Bacteria
Description: partial 16S ribosomal RNA
Rfam family: Bacterial small subunit ribosomal RNA
Source: RNAcentral
UACGGAGGGUGCAAGCAUUAAUCGGAUUUAUUGGGCGUAAAGGGCGCGUAGGCGGACUAUCAAGUCAGAUGUGAAAUACCAAAGCUCAACUUUGGUGCCGCAUUUGAAACUGGUAGACUUGAGGGUUGACGGAGAAAAUGGAAUUCCACGUGUAGCGGUGAAAUGCGUAGAUAUGUGGAAGAACACCUGUGGCGAAAGCGAUUUUCUAGUUAAUACCUGACGCUGAGGCGCGAGAGCAAGGGGAGCAAACAGG